CUCCUGAGGUGUGUGGGUCCGAUCUCGCGAGGACCUUGUUCUGUUCCGAGGACAGCUGGCCUUGGACUAGGACCCACCAACCCUUGUGGAAACCUACUGAACCUUUGAGCUGCUCCUUAGUUCUAAGCCUACAGAUGCCGGGUGGCCUUCCAGGCUGGUUCGAGCAAAGGCCUCUGCCACCUUGCGGUUCCGCCCCCCAUAGCAGGUCGUGAUGAGGUCUGCGACCCCGCAGCUCUCCAGGAAGGUGGCCGAGGACACAGUGCCACUGCAGAAGAGCUUGGCGAAGGCGAUCAUCUCCAUGAGCCCCAACCGGAUCACCGCCGCCUUGGUGUUGUCACCGAAGCCAAGCCCAUCACAGAAGCCAGCCCCAACGGCCACUAUAUUCUUUGAGGAGUAGAGACACAGAUUCUGCCUGAUGCAGAGCUAGCCUCCCACAGACCUCUCCUUUAUCACACUGGCACAGAGAUGAAGGCUCCGGUGCCAGGCCGCCAGCUGGGAGCGCUGAUUACGAGGGGUGGAAGAGAAAGGAUGUUCCUGUCCCUGGCACAUAUGAUAGGAACCCUAAAGAAUGGGCAUUUAUGCCUGAAACGGAUCCUUGUUUUUGCUUAAAUACUCCCGCCUCUCUUUGCCCCUACAUCCUAUUAGGCUGUGUGGAGAGACAAAGCACGUGGCCAUUCACGAAGGAAUAAAGAGAAUGCUCGUUAACAGGAA
This 711-nucleotide long non-coding RNA is filed under the name Mus musculus (house mouse). RNAcentral's name for it is "predicted gene 16537 (Gm16537)". Lineage: Eukaryota; Metazoa; Chordata; Mammalia; Rodentia; Muridae. The record is from RNAcentral.